UGAUUCAAACCACCAAUUUUAUUUUUUAUUUUUUUGAAUUCACUAAUAACUUCUUUUUUUUAAUCAAAAUACUACCUUGUAUUUUGAACUAAGGAGAUCCAAAAUUUUAAUUUCCAAGUAAAACCCAGAAAGAACUUUUAAUUUUGUCCUCUAACUUCCCCUGGGUACAUCCAUGUAGACUGAUCCUCGAGUCAAUUGAUACGUUCAAAAACACCAUAUAGGCUAGUUACUAUAAUUUAAAAUAAAUUAAAUCUUAAUUCUCUCAUCUACUCAACUAGACGAUUCCAAAUCAAACUCUUACAAGUAAAAAUAACUAGAAAAAUUUUCUCAAUGCUCCACCAAGUUAGAAGACCUUAAAUCAAUAGAUAUAAGUAAAAUUGACUCGGCGAUCUCUUCUAGAGUUUUCUUCAUCGAGAUCUAUGGCAUUUAUUAAAACCUUCCAUCAUAAUCAUGUAAGCCUCUAAAAUUCAAAUUUUUUAUGCAAAUCUAGAUUUUAUCAGCAACCGCAACAAUAUUGACAAAAGACUCUAGAUCGGCUUAUAAAUCCAAACUUUGAAUUGAAGUUUUAUAUACAUCACAUAGUCUCCGAUAGACAUGAACAAGAUCAAUUAUUUGGAUCCAAAGAGGAUAAUUUAAAUUAUUAAUAAUUCCACCGAGAUGAAUACUUUACGAUCUCCAAUA
This 681-nucleotide long non-coding RNA is filed under the name Phoenix dactylifera (date palm). Its description in RNAcentral is "long non-coding RNA (PDAC_LNC019526)". Lineage: Eukaryota; Viridiplantae; Streptophyta; Magnoliopsida; Arecales; Arecaceae. The record is from RNAcentral.